GCUUAACACAUGCAAGUCGAGCGGUAACAGAGAUAGCUUGCUAUCUGCUGACGAGCGGCGGACGGGUGAGUAAUGCUUGGGAAUAUGCCUUAUGGUGGGGGACAACAGUUGGAAACGACUGCUAAUACCGCAUAACGUCUACGGACCAAAGGGGGGGAUCUUCGGACCUCUCGCCAUUUGAUUAGCCCAAGUGAGAUUAGCUAGUUGGUGAGGUAAUGGCUCACCAAGGCGACGAUCUCUAGCUGGUUUGAGAGGAUGAUCAGCCACACUGGGACUGAGACACGGCCCAGACUCCUACGGGAGGCAGCAGUGGGGAAUAUUGCACAAUGGGCGAAAGCCUGAUGCAGCCAUGCCGCGUGUGUGAAGAAGGCCUUCGGGUUGUAAAGCACUUUCAGUAAGGAGGAAAGGGAUGUAGUUAAUAGCUGCAUUCUGUGACGUUACUUACAGAAGAAGCACCGGCUAACUUCGUGCCAGCAGCCGCGGUAAUACGAGGGGUGCAAGCGUUAAUCGGAAUUACUGGGCGUAAAGCGUUCGUAGGCGGUCUAUUAAGCAAGAUGUGAAAGCCCAGGGCCUCAACCUUGGGAACUGCAUUUUGAACUGGUAGACUAGAGUACUGUAGAGGGUGGUGGAAUUUCCAGUGUAGCGGUGAAAUGCGUAGAGAUUGGAAGGAACAUCAGUGGCGAAGGCGGCCACCUGGACAGAUACUGACGCUUAAGGAAC
Molecule: ribosomal RNA, 720 nt
Filed under: Colwellia sp. MH145
Lineage: Bacteria; Pseudomonadati; Pseudomonadota; Gammaproteobacteria; Alteromonadales; Colwelliaceae
Description: bacterial SSU rRNA
Rfam family: Bacterial small subunit ribosomal RNA
Source: RNAcentral